Molecule: unclassified non-coding RNA, 338 nt
Filed under: Hevea brasiliensis (rubber tree)
Lineage: Eukaryota; Viridiplantae; Streptophyta; Magnoliopsida; Malpighiales; Euphorbiaceae
Source: RNAcentral
AGCAUUGCCUAUUGCAAGGUAAAUGGUACAUCACGCAAAUGCGAGGCACCAGUGUUGUCACCCCCACCACCAGCGCGAGUAGCAUCUACAGGAACACCACAAGAUAGCAACAAUAAAUCUUAUUCAAACAGAAGUAAACCACUUCAUUGGUUGAUUUGCACAAUUUUUGCCGCGAUUCUUCUUAUCCACGUAUAAUUCUGCAUUCUCCAAAGUCUCUACUCAAAUUUUCAGACCAGACACACACUUCAUAACACGGGAGCAGAAUGACACGAUCCUCCUUAUCUUUUAUUUAUUUUUUAUUUAUCUUGUGUUUACUGGUUGAGUUUCUUCACUUAUCG